UGGGAACUGCGUUNUGAACUGGGUGACUAGAGUGUGUCAGAGGGAGGUAGAAUUCCACGUGUAGCAGUGAAAUGCGUAGAGAUGUGGAGGAAUACCGAUGGCGAAGGCAGCNUCCUGGGAUAACACUGACGUUCAUGCCCGAAAGCGUGGGUAGCAAACAGGAUUAGAUACCCUGGUAGUCCACGCCCUAAACGAUGUCGAUUAGCUGUUGGGCAGCAUGACUGCUUAGUAGCGAAGCUAACGCGUGAAAUCGACCGCCUGGGAGUACGGUCGCAAGAUUAAAACUCAAAGGAAUUGACGGGGACCCGCACAAGCGGUGGAUGAUGUGGAUUAAUUCGAUGCAACGCGAAGAACCUUACCUGGUCUUGACAUGUACGGAACCCUCCAGAGACGGAGGGGUGCCUUCGGGAGCCGUAACACAGGUGCUGCAUGGCUGUCGUCAGCUCGUGUCGUGAGAUGUUAGGUUAAGUCCCGCAACGAGCGCAACCCUUGUCAUUAGUUGCCAUCAUUAAGUUGGGCACUCUAAUGAGACUGCCGGUGACAAGCCGGAGGAAGGUGGGGAUGACGUCAAGUCCUCAUGGCCCUUAUGACCAGGGCUUCACACGUCAUACAAUGGUCGGUACAGAGGGUAGCCAAGCCGCGAGGUGGAGCCAAUCUCACAAAACCGAUCGUAGUCCGGAUUGCACUCUGCAACUCGAGUGCAUGAAGUCGGAAUCGCUAGUAAUCGCAGGUCAGCAUACUGCGGUGAAUACGUUCCCGGGUCUUGUACACACCGCCCGUCACACCAUGGGAGUGGGGGAUACCAGAAGUAGGUAGGGUAACCGCAAGGAGCCCGCUUACCACGGUAU
Molecule: ribosomal RNA, 848 nt
Filed under: uncultured bacterium
Lineage: Bacteria
Description: bacterial SSU rRNA
Rfam family: Bacterial small subunit ribosomal RNA
Source: RNAcentral